RNAcentral lists this ribosomal RNA (443 nucleotides) under uncultured bacterium. Its description in RNAcentral is "partial 16S ribosomal RNA". It matches the Rfam family "Bacterial small subunit ribosomal RNA", at positions 338 to 795 of the family's 1533-position model. The record is from RNAcentral.
CCUACGGGCGGCAGCAGUGGGGAAUAUUGGACAAUGGGGGGAACCCUGAUCCAGCGACGCCGCGUGAGUGAAGAAGUAUUUCGGUAUGUAAAGCUCUAUCAGCAGGGAAGAAAGAAAUGACGGUACCUGACUAAGAAGCCCCGGCUAACUACGGGCCAGCAGCCGCGGUAAUACGUAGGGGGCAAGCGUUAUCCGGAUUUACUGGGUGUAAAGGGAGCGUAGACGGCGAUGCAAGUCUGAAGUGAAAGGCGGGGGCCCAACCCCCGGACUGCUUUGGAAACUGUAUGGCUGGAGUGCAGGAGAGGUAAGUGGAAUUCCUAGUGUAGCGGUGAAAUGCGUAGAUAUUAGGAGGAACACCAGUGGCGAAGGCGGCUUACUGGACUGCAACUGACGUUGAGGCCCGAAAGCGUGGGGAGCAAACAGGAUUAGAUACCCUAGUAGUC